This is a long non-coding RNA of Glycine soja, 1545 nucleotides long. RefSeq lists it as uncharacterized. NCBI's taxonomy places the organism in Eukaryota, Viridiplantae, Streptophyta, Magnoliopsida, Fabales, Fabaceae. The record is from RefSeq and is a predicted model, not a curated record. The transcript has 3 exons.
AUCUUAAACGCCAUUUUUUUUUAUCAUUCUUGCUUUCUGUCAUUUCUCUCUCCCGAGUUGCUUUCUCUCAUUUCUCUCUCCCGAAUUGUUAUCUCCCCCUUCUCUGUUCCUUCUUUCCAUUUUUUUUCAUUUUUCCCGUUUUUCUGCGUUUUCUUACAUCUAAAGCUGUAAUUUUUUACAUCAAAAUUGUGAUUUUUAUCUCAGAUUCCAUGACAACGAUAUCAUAUUUGCGUUCCUUUCCAAGUUUGUAUUUCUAUUUGACCGUGACUAACUAUUGUUCUUCCUUUGCAACACAAAAGCUUCAAUUUUUUUGUGUUUUCUAUUUUUUUGUGUUAUAAUGACUUUUCGUAGGACAAAAGGUUAAAUUUUUUGGUGUUCCUGAGCCUUCUCCGACGUACCCAAAGGUUGGAGCUUUUUUGCUGGGUUUGCCAGUUCUUUACUUGAUUUGGCCGAAAAAUGAUUUAUGGGUUGUUUUCUCUCCUAUCUUUCUACGUUUUCUUUUUUCAUUUGAUUUAUUUGACCGUGGCUGACUAUUGUUCUUCCUUUACAACACAAAAACUUCAAUUUUUUUGCGUCUUAUGUCUUUGUUUUGUGUUAUAAUGACUUUUCGCAAGACAAAAGGUUAAAUUUUUUGGUGUUCUUGAGCCUUCUCCAACGUACCCAAAGGCUGGAGCUUUUUUGCUGGGUUUGCCAGUUCUUUGCUUGAUUUGGCCGAAAAAUGAUUUAUGGGUUCUUUUCUCUCCUAUCUUUCUACGUUUUCUUUUUUCAUUUGAUUUAUUUGACCGUGGCUGACUAUUGUUCUUCCUUUGCAACACAAAAGCUUCAAUUUUUUUGCGUCUUAUGUCUUUAUUUUGUGUUAUAAUGACUUUUCGCAGAACAAAAGGUUAAAUUUUUUGGUGUUCCUGAGCCUUCUCCGACGUACCCAAAGGCUAAAGCUUUUUUGCUGGGUUUGACAGUUCUUUGCUUGAUUUGGCCUAAAAAUGAUUUAUGGGUUGUUUUCUCUCCUAUCUUUCUACGUUUUCUUUUUUCAUUUGGUUUAUUUGAUGGUGGCUGAGUAUUGUUCUUCCUUUGCAAGACAAAAGCUUCAAUUUUUUUGCGUCUUCUGUCUUUGUUUUGUGUUAUAAUGACUUUUCGCAGGACAAAAGGUUAAAUUUUUUUGUGUUCUUGAACCUUCUCCAACAUAAAGUUGUCACCGAGAGCAAAUAGUGUUCGGCAUUUGAAGGACAGUCUUAUUGAGUCUUAUUUGACUGUGGUUAACCCACUCUUCUUCCUUUGCAAGACAAAAGCCAUAGAUCAUAGUAUGUUGGAUAAAUUACAGGGGAAAACUUCGUUUUUUUCUUUACUCAGAUGAACAUAGUUCGAUUGCCGAUGUUCUGCCUUAAUAGCACAAUAUUGAAAAAUAUGGAUCUUUGUGUUGCAUUCGCUACCUAUUUUUAUCUUUUUUUGUGUUGCAUGUUUGAGUUCCUUUCUUUAUCAUGUUCAUUUUUGUAUUACUUGAAAAAAAUGACGUUUAUUACUAUGAUUAACUUUGAGCUUCACGAGUGA